This 445-nucleotide ribosomal RNA is filed under the name uncultured bacterium. RNAcentral describes it as "bacterial SSU rRNA". It matches the Rfam family "Bacterial small subunit ribosomal RNA", at positions 330 to 792 of the family's 1533-position model. The record is from RNAcentral.
UCCAGACUCCUACGGGAGGCAGCAGUGGGGAAUAUUGCACAAUGGGGGAAACCCUGAUCCAGCGACGCCGCGUGAGUGAAGAAGUAUUUCGGUACGUAAAGCUCUCUCAGCAGGAAAGAAAAUGACGGUACCUGACUAAGAAGCCCCGGCUAACUACGUGCCAGCAGCCGCGGUAAUACGUAGGGGGCAAGCGUUAUCCGGAUUUACUGGGUGUAAAGGGAGCGUAGACGGCAGCGCAAGUCUGGAGUGAAAUGCCGGGGCCCAACCCCGGAACUGCUCUGGAAACUGUGAAGCUGGAGUGCAGGAGAGGUAAGCGGAAUUCCUGGUGUAGCGGUGAAAUGCGUAGAUAUCAGGAGGAACACCGGCGGCGAAGGCGGCUUACUGGACUGUAACUGACGUUGAGGCUCGAAGGCGUGGGGAGCAAACAGGAUUAGAUACCCUAGUA